Molecule: long non-coding RNA, 728 nt
Organism: Columba livia (rock pigeon)
Lineage: Eukaryota; Metazoa; Chordata; Aves; Columbiformes; Columbidae
Exons: 2
Source: RefSeq, a predicted model, not a curated record
GAAUAAAUACAUUAAAAAUAUAUAAAUAUUGGGAAAAUUUCGCAGCGGGAGCCCCGCGGGGUGGGGCAGGAAGGAGGGAGGCGCGCCCCCCCCAGCACCGCCCUGCCCUGCGGACACCGGGAACCGCGCACCUCCGCGGGCACAUUUUAGACCCCCACUGGAUGUUUACACCGUGUCUCUCAUUUGUUUUCCGAGCACCUGCUGCCGGGAGCUGCUCCCCCUGUCCUGCAGAAGUUGAGGGGUUCCCCGUGGUGUGAUGCUGAGACGGCCCCAGCCAUGCGCCCCCGUGCUACCCAGGCCCUGUGUGUCCAGCCAGGCACCUCCGAGUGGAUUUUAGCAAAUUGUAGCAGCGUUCAGCUGGAAGACGCAUCUUAUUCUGCACUAUUCCCUUUGGCAAAAGUCCCUCCGAAGAGAAAACCCUGCCUGCCUGCAGGAAACCUCGCUGUGAAAAUCAGCCUCUGUAUUAUCAGGAAUUCUUGGGUUUCCAUCGUUAGUGGCACUGUGAACUGUCACAAUAUUAUGGGUUGCUCCUUAGCACGUGGAACUUGGGCCGCAAUGAGUAACAGCCAUUUGCACCGACUGAGGACUUGCCCGUGGCAUUUCCGCGGCGAUUUUUUAAAACCACUUCUGUUUUAGCCCAUUUGCUUUGUUAAACAUUAUGUGCGCAAGGUAUGGGGACGCCGGAAUGCAAAAUAGUGAUUGCUUCUAAUAAAUAAAUGUUGAGUUCA